This is a small nucleolar RNA of Quercus robur (English oak), 147 nucleotides long. RefSeq annotates it as small nucleolar RNA snoR143. The transcript has a single exon. Lineage: Eukaryota; Viridiplantae; Streptophyta; Magnoliopsida; Fagales; Fagaceae. The record is from RefSeq and is a predicted model, not a curated record.
UUUCGGAAACAGUUUUUGUAACAAAAAUCUGUUCUUUGGAAAAAUGUAGUUUGUGUGAUUGGGCAGCGGCCAGACAACCGUAGAGAUGAUUCCACAGAUGACGGGCCUUACUUUCCCGUUUUUGUCUACUAAAAACAUCUCACAUUU